GGUAUGUUAUCAGUUUUCUGUUAAAGAAAGAAGGGAAAAAGCGUGAUGGCAGGUUAAUUAGAAAACACGAGUUCCGAGAUUCGAAGAAAAAUUCGAGCUCUCUAUGGUGUACAGUGGAAUUAGUAGAUAGUAGGAACGAAGUAUUAUACGAAAUAGAACGAUAAUUUUCUUUUUUUGCCUUCUACGGAUUGGACAAGUUGGAACUAUUGUUUAGCCUUUUGUUCCGUUCAUUCAACGAAUAAUCGAUAGAGAAAGUAAAUGAGGUCGAUUUCAUGGAUAACAUUUUUCUGGAUUUCCUUUCUCAUUAACGGCAAAUUUGAUUCGAAUAUAUAAAUCAUUAUUGAAUAGAAUCUUUAUAAAUAAAUGUGAAAUUUCAAGAAAAUUUGUUUAACAGAACAAUUAGAUCGAUUUUAUCGAUGACAUCAAGAGGUUAUGUAUCGUCUUUUACAUUUUAAGCUAGAUACCAUACUAGAUAAAAUCAUUUCGUGAUAACAAAUGACAGCAAAUUUGUUGGCAAGCUCCUCCGAAAUCCCUAGCUUGUCCACAGACUUAAUUGCAGAAUAUUACCUCUCCUAAACUACUUCAUCUCAACACAUAUACCACAACUUAACACACACUUAAUACAUUAAGAGCUUCAUAUAUUUAUAGAGAAUUGGUUAAGAUAGAAAAAAAUAAUAAUCCUAGGAUUCGAAAACAUUAUUUUUAUAUUGUUUCACGUAUAUAUUGAAUUGUUUAUAAGAAUUUGAUUUUAAUGUUCGAAAUCAAUCUAUCUAAUUCAAACUAUAUAGAUGCAGAAAAAUGAAACAUAUCCUCUCGCAAAUAAUAACUGAAUUUUCAUAAAAUAAUUUAUAAACUUGAAACUUCACACAAAAAUUUCAUCCAUCCAUAUAAAAAUUAUUAAUUAUUUCAUAUCUAAAUAUUAUCUAUAUUGUAAUAAUCAAAAUAAUGUCUUGAUACUAAGUGGCAGCAUGUUUGCCAACGUUCGCGUCUAAAAGCCAGCUCAUCCGAAAUCUCACCGCGAAGUUAAUCGUAGAAUAUUAGCAAUCCUAAAUCACUACGAAACCUAAUACGGAUAUCUAGACAAGUAUGCUCGUGGAAACUCGAAAAUUCUCGGAAAAUUUCAUUUUCUUUAAUCAAUCCAUUUUCCCAUCAAAA
Molecule: long non-coding RNA, 1155 nt
Organism: Apis florea (little honeybee)
Lineage: Eukaryota; Metazoa; Arthropoda; Insecta; Hymenoptera; Apidae
Source: RefSeq, a predicted model, not a curated record